GGAGAAUGUUGAAAGGAGGGUUCAAACAAAAUCACUUAGCCAUGAAACCUGAUAUACUAUGUCAAGGAACUACUAUUUAUGCCUUAACCCUUAGCUGUUAGACUGAGUGGUUUUCCUUACUAGCUUGUUAUUGUAUUGGUGGUCAUGAAUUAUUUUUACUAUUUCCUGUUUGUUAAUAAUUAACAUCCAUGGGUUUUGACAGACACUUUUAUGUUAGUUUAGUUUGGUUUUGGUAAUUGAAAAAUAAUUUCUCAUGGAUAAAAUGAAAUUUUGAAUGUUUAACUCACCAAUUGUUUAUGAAACAUCUCUAUAUGUGAACAGCGAGUCAUCUGCCCUUCAACCGGAAUGGAUUCAAAUUUUUCACAAAUGCUGGUGGACUUGGAAAGACUGAUAUCAAAAACGUAUUAGAGCGAGCUGCUGAUAUAUACAAUCAAUUUACAGCUGAAAAUUGAUUGUGUAUA
Arachis ipaensis is the source of this 461-nucleotide non-coding RNA. NCBI's taxonomy places the organism in Eukaryota, Viridiplantae, Streptophyta, Magnoliopsida, Fabales, Fabaceae. The record is from RefSeq and is a predicted model, not a curated record.